This 495-nucleotide ribosomal RNA is filed under the name uncultured bacterium. Its description in RNAcentral is "partial 16S ribosomal RNA". It matches the Rfam family "Bacterial small subunit ribosomal RNA", at positions 28 to 507 of the family's 1533-position model. The record is from RNAcentral.
GACGAACGCUGGCGGCGUGCCUAAUACAUGCAAGUCGAACGCUGAAGGAGGAGCUUGCUUCUCUGGAUGAGUUGCGAACGGGUGAGUAACGCGUAGGUAACCUGCCUGGUAGCGGGGGAUAACUAUUGGAAACGAUAGCUAAUACCGCAUAAGAGUAGAUGUCGCAUGACAUUUGCUUAAAAGUUGCAAUUGCAUCACUACCAGAUGGACCUGCGUUGUAUUAGCUAGUUGGUGAGGUAACGGCUCACCAAGGCAACGAUACAUAGCCGACCUGAGAGGGUGGUCGGCCACACUGGGACUGGGACACGGCCCAGACUCCUACGGGAGGGAGCAGUAGGGAAUCUUCGGCAAGGGACGGAAGUCUGACCGAGCAACGCCGCGUGAGGGAAGAAGGUUUUCGGAUCGGAAAGGUCUGUUGUAAGAGAAGAACGAGUGUGAGAGUGGAAAGUUCACACUGUGACGGUAUCUUACCAGAAAGGGACGGCUAACUACGUG